CAAGUCGAACGAACUCUGGUAUUGAUUGGUGCUUGCAUCAUGAUUUACAUUUGAGUGAGUGGCGAACUGGUGAGUAACACGUGGGAAACCUGCCCAGAAGCGGGGGAUAACACCUGGAAACAGAUGCUAAUACCGCAUAACAACUUGGACCGCAUGGUCCGAGUUUGAAAGAUGGCUUCGGCUAUCACUUUUGGAUGGUCCCGCGGCGUAUUAGCUAGAUGGUGGGGUAACGGCUCACCAUGGCAAUGAUACGUAGCCGACCUGAGAGGGUAAUCGGCCACAUUGGGACUGAGACACGGCCCAAACUCCUACGGGAGGCAGCAGUAGGGAAUCUUCCACAAUGGACGAAAGUCUGAUGGAGCAACGCCGCGUGAGUGAAGAAGGGUUUCGGCUCGUAAAACUCUGUUGUUAAAGAAGAACAUAUCUGAGAGUAACUGUUCAGGUAUUGACGGUAUUUAACCAGAAAGCCACGGCUAACUACGUGCCAGCAGCCGCGGUAAUACGUAGGUGGCAAGCGUUGUCCGGAUUUAUUGGGCGUAAAGCGAGCGCAGGCGGUUUUUUAAGUCUGAUGUGAAAGCCUUCGGCUCAACCGAAGAAGUGCAUCGGAAACUGGGAAACUUGAGUGCAGAAGAGGACAGUGGAACUCCAUGUGUAGCGGUGAAAUGCGUAGAUAUAUGGAAGAACACCAGUGGCGAAGGCGGCUGUCUGGUCUGUAACUGACGCUGAGGCUCGAAAGUAUGGGUAGCAAACAGGAUUAGAUACCCUGGUAGUCCAUACCGUAAACGAUGAAUGCUAAGUGUUGGAGGGUUUCCGCCCUUCAGUGCUGCAGCUAACGCAUUAAGCAUUCCGCCUGGGGAGUACGGCCGCAAGGCUGAAACUCAAAGGAAUUGACGGGGGCCCGCACAAGCGGUGGAGCAUGUGGUUUAAUUCGAAGCUACGCGAAGAACCUUACCAGGUCUUGACAUACUAUGCAAAUCUAAGAGAUUAGACGUUCCCUUCGGGGACAUGGAUACAGGUGGUGCAUGGUUGUCGUCAGCUCGUGUCGUGAGAUGUUGGGUUAAGUCCCGCAACGAGCGCAACCCUUAUUAUCAGUUGCCAGCAUUAAGUUGGGCACUCUGGUGAGACUGCCGGUGACAAACCGGAGGAAGGUGGGGAUGACGUCAAAUCAUCAUGCCCCUUAUGACCUGGGCUACACACGUGCUACAAUGGAUGGUACAACGAGUUGCGAACUCGCGAGAGUAAGCUAAUCUCUUAAAGCCAUUCUCAGUUCGGAUUGUAGGCUGCAACUCGCCUACAUGAAGUCGGAAUCGCUAGUAAUCGCGGAUCAGCAUGCCGCGGUGAAUACGUUCCCGGGCCUUGUACACACCGCCCGUCACACCAUGAGAGUUUGUAACACCCAAAGUCGGUGGGGUA
Molecule: ribosomal RNA, 1413 nt
Filed under: Lactiplantibacillus pentosus
Lineage: Bacteria; Bacillati; Bacillota; Bacilli; Lactobacillales; Lactobacillaceae
Description: bacterial SSU rRNA
Rfam family: Bacterial small subunit ribosomal RNA
Source: RNAcentral